Molecule: Y RNA, 112 nt
Filed under: Piliocolobus tephrosceles (Ugandan red Colobus)
Lineage: Eukaryota; Metazoa; Chordata; Mammalia; Primates; Cercopithecidae
Description: Y RNA (ENSPTEG00000037780.1)
Rfam family: Y RNA
About the family: Y RNAs are components of the Ro ribonucleoprotein particle (Ro RNP), in association with Ro60 and La proteins. The Y RNAs and Ro60 and La proteins are well conserved, but the function of the Ro RNP is not known. In humans the RNA component can be one of four small RNAs -- hY1, hY3, hY4 and hY5.
Source: Rfam by way of RNAcentral
AGCUGGUCUGAAGGUAGUGAGUUAUCACAUUGAAUGUUCACAGUCAGUUACAGAUUGAACCCCUUGUUCUACCCUUUUCCCCCUCCUCACUGCUGCACUUGACUAGCCUUAC